Molecule: ribosomal RNA, 464 nt
Filed under: Vreelandella stevensii
Lineage: Bacteria; Pseudomonadati; Pseudomonadota; Gammaproteobacteria; Oceanospirillales; Halomonadaceae
Description: partial 16S ribosomal RNA
Rfam family: Bacterial small subunit ribosomal RNA
Source: RNAcentral
CCACGGGAGGCUGCAGUGGGGAAUAUUGGACAAUGGGCGAAAGCCUGAUCCAGCCAUGCCGCGUGUGUGAAGAAGGCCUUCGGGUUGUAAAGCACUUCCAGUGGGGAAGAAAGCCUUGGGGCUAAUACCCUCGAGGAAGGACAUCACCCACAGAAGAAGCACCGGCUAACUCCGUGCCAGCAGCCGCGGUAAUACGGAGGGUGCGAGCGUUAAUCGGAAUUACUGGGCGUAAAGCGCGCGUAGGCGGUCUGAUAAGCCGGUUGUGAAAGCCCCGGGCUCAACCUGGGAACGGCAUCCGGAACUGUCAGGCUAGAGUGCAGGAGAGGAAGGUAGAAUUCCCGGUGUAGCGGUGAAAUGCGUAGAGAUCAGGAGGAAUACCAGUGGCGAAGGCGGCCUUCUGGACUGACACUGACGCUGAGGUGCGAAAGCGUGGGUAGCAAACAGGAUUAGAUACCCUUGUAGUC